GACGAACGCUGGCGGCGUGCUUAACACAUGCAAGUCGAACGGAAAGGCCCUGCUUUUGUGGGGUGCUCGAGUGGCGAACGGGUGAGUAACACGUGAGUAACCUGCCCUUGACUUUGGGAUAACUUCAGGAAACUGGGGCUAAUACCGGAUAGGAGCUCCUGCUGCAUGGGGGGGGUUGGAAAGUGUCGGCGGUUGGGGAUGGACUCGCGGCUUAUCAGCUUGUUGGUGGGGUAGUGGCUUACCAAGGCUUUGACGGGUAGCCGGCCUGAGAGGGUGACCGGCCACAUUGGGACUGAGAUACGGACCAGACUCCUACGGGAGGCAGCAGUGGGGAAUAUUGCACAAUGGGCGGAAGCCUGAUGCAGCAACGCCGCGUGCGGGAUGACGGCCUUCGGGUUGUAAACCGCUUUCGCCUGUGACGAAGCGUGAGUGACGGUAAUGGGUAAAGAAGCACCGGCUAACUACGUG
This 468-nucleotide ribosomal RNA is filed under the name uncultured bacterium. RNAcentral's name for it is "partial 16S ribosomal RNA". It matches the Rfam family "Bacterial small subunit ribosomal RNA", at positions 28 to 507 of the family's 1533-position model. The record is from RNAcentral.